This 485-nucleotide ribosomal RNA is filed under the name Salmonella enterica. RNAcentral's name for it is "partial 23S ribosomal RNA". It matches the Rfam family "Bacterial large subunit ribosomal RNA", at positions 35 to 559 of the family's 2925-position model. The record is from RNAcentral. Lineage: Bacteria; Pseudomonadati; Pseudomonadota; Gammaproteobacteria; Enterobacterales; Enterobacteriaceae. RNAcentral also lists the same sequence under 1 other name.
GGCAGUCAGAGGCGAUGAAGGGCGUGCUAAUCUGCGAUAAGCGCCGGUAAGGUGAUAUGAACCGUUAUAACCGGCGAUACCCGAAUGGGGAAACCCAGUGUGACUCGUCACACUAUCAUUAACUGAAUCCAUAGGUUAAUGAGGCGAACCGGGGGAACUGAAACAUCUAAGUACCCCGAGGAAAAGAAAUCAACCGAGAUUCCCCCAGUAGCGGCGAGCGAACGGGGAGGAGCCCAGAGCCUGAAUCAGCAUGUGUGUUAGUGGAAGCGUCUGGAAAGGCGCGCGAUACAGGGUGACAGCCCCGUACACAAAAGCGCAUGUGCUGUGAGCUCGAUGAGUAGGGCGGGACACGUGGUAUCCUGUCUGAAUAUGGGGGGACCAUCCUCCAAGGCUAAAUACUCCUGACUGACCGAUAGUGAACCAGUACCGUGAGGGAAAGGCGAAAAGAACCCCGGCGAGGGGAGUGAAAAAGAACCUGAAACCGU